AGAACUGAUGAUUUGAGGAGUGAAAUGAUGGCGUAACGUCCUGAAGCGCUCCCUCUGAUACUCCGAUUGGCAGUUUUCUUGGUUAGAAUAAGAAUUGUCAAGAGCUCGGUGAAGUCGGCUGAGAGUUACCGCAGUUGCAUUGCUGCAAUCGAAAGCUGUCCAGCGGUGGAUAGUGUAACCUAUAGGCCGGGAGUCCAAAAA
This 201-nucleotide non-coding RNA is filed under the name Jeotgalibaca ciconiae. Lineage: Bacteria; Bacillati; Bacillota; Bacilli; Lactobacillales; Carnobacteriaceae. The record is from RNAcentral.